GGAAUAUAGCUCAGUUGGUAGAGUGCUUGCCUGGUAUGCAAAAGGCCCUGUGUUCAAUCCCUGGCACCA
RNAcentral lists this transfer RNA (69 nucleotides) under Marmota monax (woodchuck). Its description in RNAcentral is "tRNA.Thr". Lineage: Eukaryota; Metazoa; Chordata; Mammalia; Rodentia; Sciuridae. The record is from RNAcentral.